Long non-coding RNA from Triticum aestivum (bread wheat), 674 nucleotides. RefSeq lists it as uncharacterized. The record is from RefSeq and is a predicted model, not a curated record. The transcript has 2 exons. Lineage: Eukaryota; Viridiplantae; Streptophyta; Magnoliopsida; Poales; Poaceae.
CCCAUCUUCACACGAACGACUACACCAGCCUCAGUUGACCAGCCUGCUCGGGGCUCGGCUGCAUCGCGUCUCCUUCCCCAGCCACGCUAGGUCGCUCGCCGCUCAGCCACGGCAUGGCGGCUCACCUCACUCCUCCAUCCAUGCCGCCCCACUGCCUCGACGCCGGCGCCGGUGAGGCAAGGAGAAGCUCGUCUCUGGUCCACGCGCGCCGAGGAGGUCCUGAGGGGGGAACCAGAGUUCGCCUGAGACAGUCAUUUUCGUCUCCUCGCCACUGGAAGGUGGUCGUCGAUGUCCGCCGGCCGGCAAGCCAUCGGCUCGUCGCCGGCCGCCCUCCAUACAAAUUUGGCUACUGGAUUCUGUGGAUAUGACAACUGAUAAUGAACCAAGAUGUAGUGAGUUCGACUGCCACCUCCUACAAUAUUUUUAUCAUGUUUUUUCUACCACGGGAGAAGUGGUGGGAUCGCCAGAAAAAUCAAAGAUCGCGCGGGGCGAAAGAAGUGGAACGCGAGAGGACCAAGCGGAUCUGUUGCUUAACGUCCAGUCGAGUGGACGUUAGCACAGUCCUCUUGUUUAUAAAUGUGCACGUGUGUGUGUCCAUUCUUCGUCACUGGCUCCUUGCGCAAUCUUCUGAUGGUGCAUAUAUAUUUAUCAGAGCAUCUCCAACAGGUGCCCAA